Molecule: ribosomal RNA, 585 nt
Filed under: uncultured bacterium
Lineage: Bacteria
Description: bacterial SSU rRNA
Rfam family: Bacterial small subunit ribosomal RNA
Source: RNAcentral
CCUACGGGAAGCAGCAGUGGGGAAUUUUGGACAAUGGACGCAAGUCUGAUCCAGCCAUUCCGCGUGCAGGACGAAGGCCUUCGGGUUGUAAACUGCUUUUGUACGGAACGAAAAAGCUCUUAUUAAUACUAGGAGUCCAUGACGGUACCGUAAGAAUAAGCACCGGCUAACUACGUGCCAGCAGCCGCGGUAAUACGUAGGGUGCAAGCGUUAAUCGGAAUUACUGGGCGUAAAGCGUGCGCAGGCGGUUAUAUAAGACAGAUGUGAAAUCCCCGAGCUUAACUUGGGAACUGCAUUUGUGACUGUAUAGCUAGAGUACGGCAGAGGGGGAUGGAAUUCCGCGUGUAGCAGUGAAAUGCGUAGAUAUGCGGAGGAACACCGAUGGCGAAGGCAAUCCCCUGGGCCUGUACUGACGCUCAUGCACGAAAGCGUGGGGAGCAAACAGGAUUAGAUACCCUGGUAGUCCACGCCCUAAACGAUGUCAACUGGUUGUUGGGUCUUCACUGACUCAGUAACGAAGCUAACGCGUGAAGUUGACCGCCUGGGGAGUACGGCCGCAAGGUUGAAACUCAAAUGAAUUGACGG